This 678-nucleotide long non-coding RNA is filed under the name Homo sapiens (human). RNAcentral describes it as "non-protein coding lnc-TMPRSS11A-5:2". Lineage: Eukaryota; Metazoa; Chordata; Mammalia; Primates; Hominidae. The record is from RNAcentral.
AUUUGAGUGGGAAUCUCAAAGCAGUUGAGUAGGCAGAAAAAAGAACCUCUUCAUUAAGGAUUAAAAUGUAUAGGCCAGCACGUGUAACUUCGACUUCAAGAUUUCUGAAUCCAUAUGUAGUAUGUUUCAUUGUCGUCGCAGGGGUAGUGAUCCUGGCAGUCACCAUAGCUCUACUUGUUUACUUUUUAGCUUUUGAUCAAAAAUCUUACUUUUAUAGGAGCAGUUUUCAACUCCUAAAUGUUGAAUAUAAUAGUCAGUUAAAUUCACCAGCUACACAGGAAUACAGGACUUUGAGUGGAAGAAUUGAAUCUCUGAUUACUAAAACAUUCAAAGAAUCAAAUUUAAGAAAUCAGUUCAUCAGAGCUCAUGUUGCCAAACUGAGGCAAGAUGGUAGUGGUGUGAGAGCGGAUGUUGUCAUGAAAUUUCAAUUCACUAGAAAUAACAAUGGAGCAUCAAUGAAAAGCAGAAUUGAGUCUGUUUUACGACAAAUGCUGAAUAACUCUGGAAACCUGGAAAUAAACCCUUCAACUGAGAUAACAUGUAAGUAUAAUUUUUCAUAAACAAUUUUAUUUCAAUAUAUCCCUCAAGUUUACCAAUUCAAAUUCAUAUUUUAAUUGAGAGGCUGACUUUUCUUUCUUUGAAACUAAACUGUGAAAACAAUCCAUUAAAAAGCUAAAU